AAAAUGAAAAAAAGAAAGAAGAAAAGAGAGAAGAGAGAAGAGAGAAGAGAUGUUCCUGACUUAAUCUUCUUGCUCAU
RNAcentral lists this non-coding RNA (77 nucleotides) under Palpitomonas bilix. The record is from RNAcentral.